GACGAACGCUGGCGGCGUGCCUAAUACAUGCAAGUUGAACGCUGGAGAUCUAGCUUGCUAGAUCGAAGGAGUGGCGAACGGGUGAGUAAUACAUAAGCAACCUACCCACGAAGACUGGGAUAAUCUCUGGAAACGGGGACUAAUACCGGAUAGGUAAUCGGAAGGCAUCUUCUGGUUAUUAAAGGUUAAAAACACUGGUGGAUGGGCUUAUGGCGCAUUAGUUAGUUGGUGAGGUAACGGCCCACCAAGACGAUGAUGCGUAGCCGGCCUGAGAGGGUGAACGGCCACAUUGGGACUGAGACACGGCCCAGACUCCUACGGGAGGCAGCAGUAGGGAAUUUUCGGCAAUGGGGGCAACCCUGACCGAGCAACGCCGCGUGAGUGAAGACGGCCUUCGGGUUGUAAAGCUCUGUUGUAAGGGAAGAACGGUAGAUAGAGAAUAUCUAAGUGACGGUACCUUACCAGAAAGCCACGGCUAACUACGUGCCAGCAGCCGCGGUAAUACGUAGGUGGCGAGCGUUAUCCGGAAUUAUUGGGCGUAAAGGGUGCGUAGGCGGCCUGUUAAGUAAGUGGUUAAAUUGUUGGGCUCAACCCAAUCCAGCCACUUAAACUGGCAGGCUAGAGUAUUGGAGAGGCAAGUGGAAUUCCAUGUGUAGCGGUAAAAUGCGUAGAUAUAUGGAGGAACACCAGUGGCGAAGGCGGCUUGCUAGCCAAAGACUGACGCUCAUGCACGAAAGCGUGGGGAGCAAAUAGG
Molecule: ribosomal RNA, 754 nt
Filed under: uncultured Bulleidia sp.
Lineage: Bacteria; Bacillati; Bacillota; Erysipelotrichia; Erysipelotrichales; Erysipelotrichaceae
Description: bacterial SSU rRNA
Rfam family: Bacterial small subunit ribosomal RNA
Source: RNAcentral